RNAcentral lists this ribosomal RNA (465 nucleotides) under Vreelandella stevensii. RNAcentral describes it as "partial 16S ribosomal RNA". It matches the Rfam family "Bacterial small subunit ribosomal RNA", at positions 338 to 795 of the family's 1533-position model. The record is from RNAcentral. Lineage: Bacteria; Pseudomonadati; Pseudomonadota; Gammaproteobacteria; Oceanospirillales; Halomonadaceae.
CCUACGGGGUGCAGCAGUGGGGAAUAUUGGACAAUGGGCGAAAGCCUGAUCCAGCCAUGCCGCGUGUGUGAAGAAGGCCUUCGGGUUGUAAAGCACUUUCAGUGGGGAAGAAAGCCUUGGGGCUAAUACCCUCGAGGAAGGACAUCACCCACAGAAGAAGCACCGGCUAACUCCGUGCCAGCAGCCGCGGUAAUACGGAGGGUGCGAGCGUUAAUCGGAAUUACUGGGCGUAAAGCGCGCGUAGGCGGUCUGAUAAGCCGGUUGUGAAAGCCCCGGGUUCAACCUGGGAACGGCAUCCGGAACUGUCAGGCUAGAGUGCAGGAGAGGAAGGUAGAAUUCCCGGUGUAGCGGUGAAAUGCGUAGAGAUCGGGAGGAAUACCAGUGGCGAAGGCGGCCUUCUGGACUGACACUGACGCUGAGGUGCGAAAGCGUGGGUAGCAAACAGGAUUAGAUACCCCAGUAGUC